GCCUGGGAACACCACGUGAUGUUGGCUU
RNAcentral lists this non-coding RNA (28 nucleotides) under Bombyx mori (domestic silkworm). RNAcentral also lists the same sequence under 2 other names. The record is from RNAcentral. Lineage: Eukaryota; Metazoa; Arthropoda; Insecta; Lepidoptera; Bombycidae.